ACUCCUACGGGAGGCAGCAGUGGGGAAUAUUGCACAAUGGGCGCAAGCCUGAUGCAGCGACGCCGCGUGGGGGAUGACGGCCUUCGGGUUGUAAACCUCUUUCAGUAGGGACGAAGCGCGAGUGACGGUACCUACAGAAGAAGCACCGGCCAACUACGUGCCAGCAGCCGCGGUAAUA
This 178-nucleotide ribosomal RNA is filed under the name uncultured Mycobacterium sp. RNAcentral's name for it is "partial 16S ribosomal RNA". It matches the Rfam family "Bacterial small subunit ribosomal RNA", at positions 335 to 525 of the family's 1533-position model. The record is from RNAcentral. Lineage: Bacteria; Bacillati; Actinomycetota; Actinomycetes; Mycobacteriales; Mycobacteriaceae.